This 497-nucleotide ribosomal RNA is filed under the name uncultured bacterium. RNAcentral describes it as "partial 16S ribosomal RNA". It matches the Rfam family "Bacterial small subunit ribosomal RNA", at positions 28 to 507 of the family's 1533-position model. The record is from RNAcentral.
GAUGAACGCUGGCGGCGUGCCUAAUACAUGCAAGUCGAGCGAACAGAUGAGGAGCUUGCUUCUCUGACGUUAGCGGCGGACGGGUGAGUAACACGUGGAUAACCUACCUGUAAGACUGGGAUAACUUCGGGAAACCGGAGCUAAUACCGGAUAAUAUAUUGAACGGCAUGGUUCAAUAGUGAAAGACGGUUUUGCUGUCACGUAUAGAUGGAUCCGCGCCGCAUUAGCUAGUUGGUAAGGUAACGGCUUACCAAGGCAACGAUGCGUAGCCGACCUGAGAGGGUGAUCGGCCACACUGGAACUGAGACACGGUCCAGACUCCUACGGGAGGCAGCAGUAGGGAAUCUUCCGCAAUGGGCGAAAGCCUGACGGAGCAACGCCGCGUGAGUGAUGAAGGUCUUCGGAUCGUAAAACUCUGUUAUUAGGGAAGAACAAAUGUGUAAGUAACUAUGCACGUCUUGACGGUACCUAAUCAGAAAGCCACGGCUAACUACGUG